UUAGUGGCGGACGGGUGAGUAACGCGUGGGUGACCUGCCCAUAAGUGGGGAAUAACAGUUGGAAACGACUGCUAAUACCGCAUAAGCUGAGCAAUCAGUAAAGGAGGCUUAACAGCUUCCGCUUAUGGAUGGGCCCGCGUCUGAUUAGCUAGUUGGUGGGAUAAAAGCCUACCAAGGCCACGAUCAGUAGCCGGCCUGAGAGGGUGGACGGCCACACUGGGACUGAGACACGGCCCAGACUCCUACGGGAGGCAGCAGUGGGGAAUAUUGCGCAAUGGGGGAAACCCUGACGCAGCGACGCCGCGUGAGCGAAGAAGGCCUUAGGGUCGUAAAGCUCUGUUUUAAGGGACGAAAAUUCACAGGAGUAACUGUCUGUGAAGUGACGGUACCUUAAGAGAAAGCCCCGGCUAACUACGUGCCAGCAGCCGCGGUAAGACGUAGGGGGCGAGCGUUGUCCGGAAUCAUUGGGCGUAAAGGGCGUGCAGGCGGCCGCCAAAGUCCGGCGUGAAAGACCCAGGCUCAACCUGGGGGGUGCGCCGGAUACUGGGCGGCUUGAGUACAGGAGGGGACGGCGGAAUUCCAGGUGUAGGGGUGAAAUCUGUAGAUAUCUGGAGGAACACCGAUGGCGAAGGCAGCCGUCUGGCCAUGUACUGACGCUGAGGCGCGAAGGUGCGGGGAGCAAACAGGUUUAGAUACCCUGGUAGUCCGCACAGUAAACGAUGUGCACCCGGCGGGCGGGGGGCAACCUCGCUGCCGCAGUUAAACGCAUUAAGUGCACCGCCUGGGGAGUAUGCCCGCAAGGGUGAAACUCAAAGGAAUUGACGGGGGGCCCGCACAAGCGGUGGAGCAUGUGGUUUAAUUCGAUGAUACGCGAGAAACCUUACCAGGGCUUGACAUGCGCCGGGAGCGCGCCGAAAGGCGUGCGCCCCUCGGGGCCGGCGCACAGGUGCUGCAUGGCUGUCGUCAGCUCGUGCUGUGAGAUGUUGGGUUAAGUCCCGCAACGAGCGCAACCCUUAUUGUUAGUUGCCAUCAUUAAGUUGGGCACUCUAGCGAGACUGCCCGGGUUAACCGGGAGGAAGGUGGGGAUGACGUCAAAUCAUCAUGCCCCUUAUGUCUAGGGCUACACACGUGCUACAAUGGUCGGUACAAUAAGACGCAAGCCCGCGAGGGGGAGCAAAACUGGAAAACCGAUCUCAGUUCGGAUUGUAGGCUGAAACUCGCCUACAUGAAGCUGGAGUUGCUAGUAAUCGCGAAUCAGCAUGUCGCGGUGAAUACGUUCCCGGGCCUUGUACACACCGCCCGUCA
RNAcentral lists this ribosomal RNA (1305 nucleotides) under uncultured bacterium. Its description in RNAcentral is "partial 16S ribosomal RNA". It matches the Rfam family "Bacterial small subunit ribosomal RNA", at positions 92 to 1399 of the family's 1533-position model. The record is from RNAcentral.